This 497-nucleotide ribosomal RNA is filed under the name uncultured bacterium. RNAcentral's name for it is "partial 16S ribosomal RNA". It matches the Rfam family "Bacterial small subunit ribosomal RNA", at positions 28 to 507 of the family's 1533-position model. The record is from RNAcentral.
GAUGAACGCUGGCGGCGUGCCUAAUACAUGCAAGUCGAGCGAACAGACGAGGAGCUUGCUCCUCUGACGUUAGCGGCGGACGGGUGAGUAACACGUGGAUAACCUACCUAUAAGACUGGGAUAACUUCGGGAAACCGGAGCUAAUACCGGAUAAUAUAUUGAACCGCAUGGUUCAAUAGUGAAAGACGGUUUUGCUGUCACUUAUAGAUGGAUCCGCGCCGCAUUAGCUAGUUGGUAAGGUAACGGCUUACCAAGGCAACGAUGCGUAGCCGACCUGAGAGGGUGAUCGGCCACCCUGAAACUGAGACACGGUCCAAACUCCUACGGGAGCAACCAGUAGGGAAUCUUCCGCAAUGGGCGAAAGCCUGACGGAACAACGCUGCGUGAGUGAUGAAGGUAUUCGGAUCGUAAAACUCUGUUAUUAGGGAAGAACAAAUGUGUAAGUAACUAUACACGUCUUGACGGUACCUAAUCAGAAAGCCACGGCUAACUACGUG